GGACAGAAGGGAGCUUGCUCCCGGAUGUUAGCGGCGGACGGGUGAGUAACACGUGGGUAACCUGCCUGUAAGACUGGGAUAACUCCGGGAAACCGGAGCUAAUACCGGAUAGUUCCUUGAACCGCAUGGUUCAAGGAUGAAAGACGGUUUCGGCUGUCACUUACAGAUGGACCCGCGGCGCAUUAGCUAGUUGGUGGGGUAAUGGCUCACCAAGGCAACGAUGCGUAGCCGACCUGAGAGGGUGAUCGGCCACACUGGGACUGAGACACGGCCCAGACUCCUACGGGAGGCAGCAGUAGGGAAUCUUCCGCAAUGGACGAAAGUCUGACGGAGCAACGCCGCGUGAGUGAUGAAGGUUUUCGGAUCGUAAAGCUCUGUUGUUAGGGAAGAACAAGUGCGAGAGUAACUGCUCGCACCUUGACGGUACCUAACCAGAAAGCCACGGCUAACUACGUGCCAGCAGCCGCGGUAAUACGUAGGUGGCAAGCGUUGUCCGGAAUUAUUGGGCGUAAAGGGCUCGCAGGCGGUUUCUUAAGUCUGAUGUGAAAGCCCCCGGCUCAACCGGGGAGGGUCAUUGGAAACUGGGAAACUUGAGUGCAGAAGAGGAGAGUGGAAUUCCACGUGUAGCGGUGAAAUGCGUAGAGAUGUGG
Molecule: ribosomal RNA, 650 nt
Filed under: Bacillus sp. 194(2013)
Lineage: Bacteria; Bacillati; Bacillota; Bacilli; Caryophanales; Bacillaceae
Description: bacterial SSU rRNA
Rfam family: Bacterial small subunit ribosomal RNA
Source: RNAcentral